GACAUACUCCCUCCGAUCCAUAUUACUUGUCUCAAAUGUGCCCAAAUAUGGAUGUAUCUAAAAAAAACCGUCUAGAUACAUGUAAUAUUUCGACAAGUAAUAUGGAUCGGAGGGAGUAUAUA
Molecule: non-coding RNA, 122 nt
Organism: Brachypodium distachyon (stiff brome)
Lineage: Eukaryota; Viridiplantae; Streptophyta; Magnoliopsida; Poales; Poaceae
Source: Rfam